CCAGGGCGCAGCGAGCCCGGACCGCGAUUUUCCCGCUCGGCCCCGCGCUGUCGGCCGCCCUCACCCUCGCACACGGGGCGGGGCUAAAACACUCGCCCGCCCGCAGCGCUGCAGCGCCCCAGGGGCACGGGGCCUCCCUUUCCCCGGGGAGCCCCGCUUCUGGGGACGGGUCGUUCGGUGCCCGGGCGGCGUGUGAGAGACCGGGGCGGGGGGGGGUAACAGGUGUCUAUAUAAGAAAAAGCCUCCAAAAGCGGGCCCGUCCCUUUGACAGCGGGACGUGGGGGCGCCCCACGAGUCCGGAGGGAAGGCGGAGCGGGCGCUGACCGGCGCUGCCAGCCUGGCGCCUGCAGGAGGCCCCCGGAGAGGCGCAGGGCUGGCCCCAGCCAAUGUCAACAGAAAAUCUCUCUGUCUGUGCCCGAGGGCGGUGACACGCAACACCCCCUUAAAUCUCUGAGUGCUUUGCCAAACUGUACUGGUCUCCCGCUUUGGCUGGGACAUGGGAGCUGAUCGCUGUCAUCCGUCCAGGGAAAUCAAACCCUUACAACAGCUCCUUCGCCGGGCACAUCUCCGUGUCCAGCGGAUGGGUCAUCGUGAUGAACGCCAGCAAAGCCAUUGCAGGGGAUUUGAAGAUUGUGCAUGAGAUGAACAAAAGCGAGUGUCUGGCUUCCAUCCAUCUGAAUGUAACGGAGCUGCUCCGUCCCAGCAGGCCGGCGACGCUGGCCCCAUGCAGGAGCUGGCAGAGCUGAUGCAGCCGGAGGACGCCAGCGGUGGAGACCGGUCAGCCGUGCUGAAUGGGAAACUUCUUGGCAGUGCUGAAAUGCUAAACGAUGGGGGACUAGAGAGUGGGGAGGGAUGAGCCCCAUCCCUCAACAUCCACUCACUGUGCAGCGGCAGUCAAAAAAGCGAACAGAAUGUUGGGAAUCAUCAAGAAAGGGACAGAAAAUAAGACAGAAAAUAUCAUCUUGCCUCUAUAUAAAUCCAUGGUCCGCCCACAUCUUGAAUACUGUGUGCAGAUGUGGUAGCCCCAUCUCAAAAAAGAUACAUUGUAACUGGUUAGUCUCUAAGGUGCCACAAGUACUCCUUUUCUUUUUGUAACUGGAAAAGGUACAGAAAGGGGCAAAAAAAUGAUCAGGGGUAUGGAACGGCUGCCGUAUGAAGAGAGAUUAAUAAUGUGAUGUUAUUGACAGGAACUGUGAUCAUAUAGAGCAGUGGUUCCCAAACUUUAACAACCUGUGAACCCCUUUCACUAAAAUGUCAAGUCUUGCGAACCCCCUCCUAAAAAUGAAUAUUUCCAGAGAUUUUCUCCUUUACCUGAUGUAACGAUGCUGAUUCUGGCGGGACCCAACUGAGAGUGCCAAUUCAGGGCAAAUUGCUUCAAGCAGGGCAGUUACAGCCCAAGGCUGGGGUUUUUCCACUUCUAAGGCAAACCAAACCAGCCAGACAGAGAGGACUUUGGUUUUACCCCACUGGCUAACCACAAGUCACACAAGCAAUUCCCUUAGACACUCCAGUUUCCCACUAUCACCACCAGUGCCACUCGUUAUGGGGGAUGAAUGGUUAUGAAAACCAAGACCCCAGUAAAAGAAAAAAGGUUCUCUCGAUCCCAAAGGACCAAGCCCCAGAGCCAGGUCAAUAUACAAAUCAGAUUUUACCCACAAAUGAUGCUGUUGCCAAUCCUUUAGAAUCUAAAAUCUAAAGGUUUAUUCAUAAAAAGAAAGAAAUAUAGAUGAGAGCUAGAGUUGGUUAAGUGGAAUCAAUGACAUCCAGUGAUGGCAAAGUUCUUGGUUCAGGCUUGUAGCAGUGAUGGAAUAAACUGCAGGUUCAAAUCAAGUCUCUGGACUACAUCCACAGCUGGGACAAAGGGAUUUCCUCCCAUAAGAGAGAGAAUAUAAAAGGCCCUAAAAACCCCUCCAUUUGGUCUUCAGCUGGCUCAAAAGAUAGCCUCUCCACCCCAAAGAGAUGCCUGGAAGAAACUGGACCAAAGGACAGUAACUAUGGGGGUGUGAGUGAUUGCUGGACCCAGACUAGGAAGGAGUCUAGUCUGUGAAAGAAGUUUAUUGGAACAUCUCUGAGGGUGAGAUUUAUCUGCAUUUAGUUUCCUACUGUAUUAGGCUUAGACUCACUUAUUUUAUUUUAUUUUGCUUGGUAACUUACUUCGUUUUGUCUGUUAUUACUUGGAACCACUUAAA
Caretta caretta (loggerhead turtle) is the source of this 2189-nucleotide long non-coding RNA. RefSeq lists it as uncharacterized. Lineage: Eukaryota; Metazoa; Chordata; Testudines; Cheloniidae. The record is from RefSeq and is a predicted model, not a curated record.